This 378-nucleotide ribosomal RNA is filed under the name uncultured bacterium. RNAcentral describes it as "bacterial SSU rRNA". It matches the Rfam family "Bacterial small subunit ribosomal RNA", at positions 521 to 896 of the family's 1533-position model. The record is from RNAcentral.
UAAUACGGGGAGUGCAAGCGUUAUUCGGAAUCACUGGGCGUAAAGGGUGUGUAGACGGUGUAUUAAGUCUGCUGUUAAAUAUCUCGGCCUAACUGAGAAAUCGCGGUAGAAACUGAUAUGCUUGAGGGUGAGAGAGAGAAGUGGAAUUCUCGGAGUAGCGGUAAAAUGCGUAGAUCUCGAGAGGAACACCAAUGGCGAAAGCAGCUUCUUGGCUCACUUCUGACGUUGAGACACGAAAGCGUGGGGAGCAAACAGGAUUAGAUACCCUGGUAGUCCACGCCGUAAACGAUGAUCACUUGAUGUCAGUCUGGCUUAGCUAGAUUGGUGUCGGAGCUAACGCGUUAAGUGAUCCGCCUGGGGACUACGGUCGCAAGACUA